This 483-nucleotide ribosomal RNA is filed under the name uncultured bacterium. RNAcentral's name for it is "partial 16S ribosomal RNA". It matches the Rfam family "Bacterial small subunit ribosomal RNA", at positions 30 to 507 of the family's 1533-position model. The record is from RNAcentral.
AUUGAACGCUGGCGGCAGGCCUAACACAUGCCAGUCGAGCGGAUGAAGGGAGCUUGCUCCUGGAUUCAGCGGCGGACGGGUGAGUAAUGCCUAGGAAUCUGCCUGGUAGUGGGGAUAACGUCCGGAAACGGGCGCUAAUACCGCAUACGUCCUGAGGGAGAAAGUGGGGGAUCUUCGGACCUCACGCUAUCAGAUGAGCCUAGGUCGGAUUAGCUAGUUGGUGGGGUAAAGGCCUACCAAGGCGACGAUCCGUAACUGGUCUGAGAGGAUGAUCAGUCACACUGGAACUGAGACACGGUCCAGACUCCUACGGGAGGCAGCAGUGGGGAAUAUUGGACAAUGGGCGAAAGCCUGAUCCAGCCAUGCCGCGUGUGCGAAGAAGGUCUUCGGAUUGUAAAGCACUUUAAGUUGGGAGGAAGGGCAGUAAGUUAAUACCUUGCUGUUUUGACGUUACCAACAGAAUAAGCACCGGCUAACUUCGUG